AUUGAACGCUGGCGGCAGGCUUAACACAUGCAAGUCGAGCGGAGUGAUGGUGCUUGCACUAUCACUUAGCGGCGGACGGGUGAGUAAUGCUUAGGAAUCUGCCUAUUAGUGGGGGACAACAUCUCGAAAGGGAUGCUAAUACCGCAUACGUCCUACGGGAGAAAGCAGGGGAUCACUUGUGACCUUGCGCUAACAGAUGAGCCGAAGUCGGAGUAGCUAGUUGGUGGGGUAAAGGCCUACCAAGGCGACGAUCUGUAGCGGGUCUGAGAGGAUGAUCCGCCACACUGGGACUGAGACACGGCCCAGACUCCUACGGGAGGCAGCAGUGGGGAAUAUUGGACAAUGGGGGGAACCCUGAUCCAGCCAUGCCGCGUGUGUGAAGAAGGCCUUAUGGUUGUAAAGCACUUUAAGCGAGGAGGAGGCUCUUUUGGUUAAUACCCAAGAUGAGUGGACGUUACUCGCAGAAUAAGCACCGGCUAACUCUGUGUCAGCCGCCGCAGUAA
This 503-nucleotide ribosomal RNA is filed under the name uncultured bacterium. RNAcentral describes it as "partial 16S ribosomal RNA". It matches the Rfam family "Bacterial small subunit ribosomal RNA", at positions 30 to 523 of the family's 1533-position model. The record is from RNAcentral.